This is a non-coding RNA of Pangasianodon hypophthalmus (striped catfish), 1474 nucleotides long. The record is from the annotation of a RefSeq genome assembly. NCBI's taxonomy places the organism in Eukaryota, Metazoa, Chordata, Actinopteri, Siluriformes, Pangasiidae.
CAUUCAGCUAAACAACACACCAGCAGUUUGUGUUCAUUUACAGCAACAGUGAUCAUUUUAAUUCUUUGAGAUGGGACUAGGCAGAGUUUUGAGUUACUUUACUCUAGCAAUCUUCAUUCAAUAUUCCUGCAGUCAGACACUGAUCGAGUCAGAAUCAGUCAUCAUCAAACCUGAUCAGUCUCAUAAACUGACCUGCACAGCAUCUGGAUUGGACUUUAGUAGCUACUGGAUGGCUUGGAUCAGACAGGCUCCUGGAAAGGGACUAGAAUUUGUUGCAAAUAUAAGAUAUGACAGUGGUAGCAUGUACUACUCCAGUGCAGUUAAAGGCCGCUUUACCAUCUCCAGAGACAACAGUAAGCUGCAGGUGUAUCUGCACAUGAACAGCGUGAGGACAGAAGACACAGCUGUGUAUUACUGCGCCCGACACACACAGUGAUACUUCUCCUUAGACAUCAGUACAAAAACCAUGACAAGCUCACAUUUUCAUAAGCAGUGUAUUCAUGGAGCUCAAAGAACCAAAAUGUUUUGACUUUUACUGCAUGUGGCUUAUUGUGAACAUUGUCUGGACAUUUAUGCUGGUAUAAGAUUACUUAGGUCAGAGUCAGUUCUGAAUAUAUAUAUAUAUAUGGUACAGAGGGUAAUGUUGCCACCUCACAGCUUCAGGGCCCUCGGUUUGAUCCUGGUCAUACAAAAUGCUUCACAUUAUAAUUCUUACUUUUUUUACUUAGUACUUUAGUUCUAUUUGAGUUUUUUUUAACAAGUUGCUUUAAAAUAACUUCUUUUAGAUCUGAGUAUUUUGAAAACUGGACCUUUGUGCCUCUAGAGGGCAGUCUGUGCAAACUCAACCAUCUCAGUCUGUUGCUAUCUGCACUUUUAGGCCCCGUCUCUUUUCACAGGCUGCUAUGACUGCAUCCAGCACCAUGACUCUCAGAUUAAACUCCAGGAAGAUAAUUGCUUGUUGUUGCUUAUAUCAUUACUUUUGCAGAGUCUUGUGAGACAAAAUAUAAUUAAAUAAAUGCAAUGCUAUUCCUUUUUAUCUUCAUACUACAUUCAUUCUUUAUCCAAUCAGAAUGAGUCAGAGAUGAUGUGUGGUCUACAUUAUUUCUGUAACCAUAUUAAUUAAUCAAAAAACAUUAAUGUCUUUCUGUAUAGUUCUGUGCUAUAGAAGCAGAUAUGGUAAUGGGGCAAAAUAGCUCUUAAAGGCUUAAUUGUAAAACACAGCUCGAGUCUUGCUAUAAACAUUUGCCCUUUAAUGGCUAUUUCUGUAAUGUUUUUAUACCUCUAUUUCUAAUGCAGAUUAAGGGCCAUGUUUAAACCACAUAUGCUGAUAUAUUCAGGAAAUGUAUUCAUUUAGAGAAGGUGCUAUUUUUAUUCCUUGAGAUGCAUCUGAGGAGAGUUUUGAGCUGAUGUUGCUGCAUCACUGAGCAUUCAUUUUUGGUUUCACUCUUUAUUAAAUUUAUUCUAAACAUAAAAA